Molecule: ribosomal RNA, 356 nt
Filed under: uncultured bacterium
Lineage: Bacteria
Description: bacterial SSU rRNA
Rfam family: Bacterial small subunit ribosomal RNA
Source: RNAcentral
AGAGUUUGAUCCUGGCUCAGGAUGAACACUAGCUACAGGCUUAACACAUGCAAGUCGAGGGGAAACGAUAUUGGAAGCUUGCUUUUGAUGGGCGUCGACCGGCGCACGGGUGAGUAACGCGUAUCCAACCUGCCCACCACUUGGGGAUAACCUUGCGAAAGUAAGACUAAUACCCAAUGAUAUCUCUAGAAGACAUCUGAAAGAGAUUAAAGAUUCAUCGGUGAUGGAUGGGGAUGCGUCUGAUUAGCUUGUUGGCGGGGUAACGGCCCACCAAGGCAACGAUCAGUAGGGGUUCUGAGAGGAAGGUCCCCCACAUUGGAACUGAGACACGGUCCAAACUCCUACGGGAGGCAGCA